This is a long non-coding RNA of Osmerus eperlanus (European smelt), 306 nucleotides long. RefSeq lists it as uncharacterized. The transcript has 2 exons. Lineage: Eukaryota; Metazoa; Chordata; Actinopteri; Osmeriformes; Osmeridae. The record is from RefSeq and is a predicted model, not a curated record.
CAUCCACACAAGGCAUGUCAAAGGACAGUAAGGCAUUUCCCAAGUUAAAUGUAAAACAGCAACAAAGAGAAAAGAGAAGACAAAGAAACCAAAGAAUGCAUGGUGCACACAACACCAGCAGAUACAGAACAGAUGCAGAUUUCAGAGAAGAGCAAAAAGAAACUUUCCGCCUAAAGUAUCAACAUGACCCUGCCUUCAGGAGAAAGCAAAAAGAAACGUUGUGCCACAGGUAUCAACAUGACCCUGCCUUCAGGAGAAAGCAAAAAGAAACGUUGUGCCACAGGUAUCAACAUGACCCUGCCUUCA